Molecule: ribosomal RNA, 459 nt
Filed under: uncultured bacterium
Lineage: Bacteria
Description: partial 16S ribosomal RNA
Rfam family: Bacterial small subunit ribosomal RNA
Source: RNAcentral
CCUACGGGAGGCAGCAGUGAGGAAUAUUGGUCAAUGGGCGCGAGCCUGAACCAGCCAAGUCGCGUGAGGGAAGACGGUCCUAUGGAUUGUAAACCUCUUUUGUCGGGGAGCAAAAGCCGCCACGCGUGGCGUUCCGAGAGUACCCGAAGAAAAAGCCACGGCUGAAUCCGGUCCAGCAGCCGCGGUAAUACGGAGGAUGCGAGCGUUAUCCGGAUUUAUUGGGUUUAAAGGGUGCGCAGGCGGAAGAUCAAGGCAGCGGUAAAAUUGAGAGGCUCAACCUCUUCGAGCCGGUGAAACUGGUUUUCUUGAGUGAGCGAGAAGUAUGCGGAAUGCGUGGUGUAGCGGUGAAAUGCAUAGAUAUCACGCAGAAGUCCGAUUGUGAAGGCAGCAUACCGGCGCUCAACUGACGCUCAGGCACGAAAGUGUGGGUAUCGAACAGGAUUAGAUACCCGGGUAGUC